AUUACACCACUCCGCGAGUAAUCCUACCGACUGAUUGGUCCCCGUCACAAUCACGCAACGAGCUGCCAUAUUAUAAUAAUAUAAUAUCAAACCAGAUUCUUUGGACUCAUUUUUAUUAUUUUUCCCUAGUUAUUUCUCUAAAUUAUUUUCUAUUUAAUGAAAAUUAAAGAUAUGAAAUAUACUUGUAAUCUAGUCAUUAUUAAACACUUUUAAAAAUUUAAAAAAUCUACUUGUUUAUAUUAGGUUGUACAGAUAAAAUGAGGUAUUUAGGUUGUUGGUGAGAACUAGGAUGGUCUUGCAAGUUUCAUGAACUGCCAUGUUUAAAAGUUAAGAUAAGCAGUCUUAUUAAAAGUACAAUCUAAUAUAAUAAAACUUGGUAAAAUCAUUUUUAUAAUUUGUCAGCUGGAGUUGAAAUCAUACUUGGUUACAAUAGUUACAUUUGAAUUCACCCAUAAACACUCAGAAAAAUCCUGUUGAAUUUGACAUUUAUCUUAACAAGUUGUUGAUAUUGAUAAUGGUCAAAUAAUAUCAAGAGUGCGUAAUAUAGUGCAUGGCUUAAGAUGAACAGGUUACGAAACACAGCUGUGAUUAUUGAGGCUCUAGUCUGACAACCUAGCGCUCCAUGCGGUACUAUUUAACUUUAUUUAUAUUUUUCCUUGGACCAUGAUACUUUUUGAAUUUUGCGGCAAUUUCUGAAUUCUGACAUGUAUUUUAGUUUCAACUAACCUGGUAAAGAACACAAUAUUUUAAGAUUUUUAUGAGAUUUGUUUUGAUUUUUUACAUAAAUAAACAAUUAUAAUACAUAAAUAUAACACGGAUAAUAUAAAACAUUUAUUAACACAUUUUUUAAACAUUUAUUAACCUAACUAUAUACAAGUUUAGAAAGUUUCUUUUUGGCUCUAUUAAUUUAAUUUAAUUUUUGAUUUUCAAUAUAUGUAAAUUGCCUCAUGCGCAUUGUUAUAUACAUGGUGAAAAUAUCUGUAAUCAUUUCACUUUUGUGAAUAGAACAUGAAAAUGUCAGGCUUGUCACAUGAUGAAAAAAUUCAUUAUAAGUAUUUUCAAAAACAUCACCAGCACUUGCAUGUUUACAAAAGCAAGUUUCCAAUACUUUUAAUAUUUUGUAAAAGUUACCACUAGGAUGAGUUAAAAAUCCUUUACUUUUUAAAUUUACCAACUCUGAUUCCAUACCUAAGUUACCAUCAUUCUUUAAAUUUUUUAAACAUACUUCACACUUAGAUUUUUUGCACAGUCAUCUAGCUAAGUACCUGCAGAUUUAAUUAAAAAUUUAUUAGAAAUUUAUGUAAGAAAUAAUAUUAAAUCAUCUUUACUCUCCUAAAUAGUAAACCACACAUUCAAAAACUGAACUUUUUGUAUAAUCGUCAGGGCUGCUACCGUUACUAAAAUUUAAAAAAGUGAGAAAAGUGACAUUUUUUGGGAAAAAAGUGACUAAUUUUUCUAUAAAAAGUGACUAGAUUUUUUUCACAAAAUAUCAUAUUAUCACUUAAUUGGAUACCAGAUUUAAAAUUGAACGAUUAAAAUAAAUUAAAAUGGUAUGUUCAACUUCAAUAUAUUACUUUGAUUACAAGUUUCUGAUAGGUACCUACCUAGUUUUUUUCUACCUAGCUAAGUCCCUGCU
Aphis gossypii (cotton aphid) is the source of this 1636-nucleotide long non-coding RNA. RefSeq lists it as uncharacterized. NCBI's taxonomy places the organism in Eukaryota, Metazoa, Arthropoda, Insecta, Hemiptera, Aphididae. The transcript has 3 exons. The record is from RefSeq and is a predicted model, not a curated record.